AUACGGAGGGAGCGAGCGUUAAUCGGAAUUACUGGGCGUAAAGCGCGCGUAGGCGGCUUUGUAAGUCGGAUGUGAAAGCCCUGGGCUCAACCUGGGAAUGGCAUUCGAUACUGCAGAGCUAGAGUAUGGUAGAGGGAAGUGGAAUUUCCGGUGUAGCGGUGAAAUGCGUAGAUAUCGGAAGGAACACCAGUGGCGAAGGCGACUUCCUGGGCCAAUACUGACGCUGAGGUGCGAAAGCGUGGGGAGCAAACAGGAUUAGAUACCCGAGUAGUCC
This 274-nucleotide ribosomal RNA is filed under the name uncultured bacterium. RNAcentral describes it as "partial 16S ribosomal RNA". It matches the Rfam family "Bacterial small subunit ribosomal RNA", at positions 523 to 796 of the family's 1533-position model. The record is from RNAcentral.